UACGAAGGGGGCUAGCGUUGCUCGGAAUCACUGGGCGUAAAGCGCACGUAGGCGGCUUUCUAAGUCAGGGGUGAAAUCCUGGAGCUCAACUCCAGAACUGCCUUUGAUACUGGGAAUCUCGAGUCCGGGAGAGGUGAGUGGAACUGCGAGUGUAGAGGUGAAAUUCGUAGAUAUUCGCAAGAACACCAGUGGCGAAGGCGGCUCACUGGCCCGGUACUGACGCUGAGGCACGAAAGCGUGGGGAGCAAACAGG
This 253-nucleotide ribosomal RNA is filed under the name uncultured bacterium. RNAcentral's name for it is "partial 16S ribosomal RNA". It matches the Rfam family "Bacterial small subunit ribosomal RNA", at positions 524 to 776 of the family's 1533-position model. The record is from RNAcentral.